UGGGGCGUGGCCAAGCGGUUAAGGCAACGGGUUUUGAUCCCGUCAUCGGAGGUUCGAUCCCUCCCGCCCCAGCCA
This 75-nucleotide transfer RNA is filed under the name SAR92 bacterium BACL26 MAG-121220-bin70. RNAcentral's name for it is "tRNA-Gln". It matches the Rfam family "tRNA". From Rfam's summary of the family: Transfer RNA (tRNA) molecules are approximately 80 nucleotides in length. Their secondary structure includes four short double-helical elements and three loops (D, anti-codon, and T loops). RNAcentral also lists the same sequence under 6 other names. The record is from RNAcentral. Lineage: Bacteria; Pseudomonadati; Pseudomonadota; Gammaproteobacteria; Cellvibrionales; Porticoccaceae.